AUACGGGGGGUGCAAGCGUUAAUCGGAAUUACUGGGCGUAAAGCGCGCGUAGGCGGUUUGCUCAGUCGGAUGUGAAAGCCCAGGGCUCAACCUUGGAACUGCAUACGAUACUGGCAAACUAGAGUGUGAGAGAGGAUAGUGGAAUUUCCGGUGUAGCGGUGAAAUGCGUAGAUAUCGGAAGGAACAUCAGUGGCGAAGGCGACUGUCUGGCUCAACGCUGACGCUGAGGUGCGAAAGCGUGGGUAGCAAACAGGAUUAGAUACCCCAGUAGUCC
This 274-nucleotide ribosomal RNA is filed under the name uncultured bacterium. RNAcentral's name for it is "partial 16S ribosomal RNA". It matches the Rfam family "Bacterial small subunit ribosomal RNA", at positions 523 to 796 of the family's 1533-position model. The record is from RNAcentral.